UAUGGGGUCUCUGUGGGUCUGAAUGGGGCACAGUGAGGUGUCUAUGGGGCACGGAGUGGACGCUGUGGGGUCUAUGGGGCCUCUGUGGGUCUGAAUGGGGCUCGGUGGGGUUUAUGGGGUCUCUGUGGGUCUGAAUGGGGCACAGUGGGGUCUCUAUGGGUCUGAACGGGGCACCGUGGGGUCGCUGGGGGGCACAGUGGGGUCUAUGGGGUCUCUAUGGGGCACAGUGGGGUCUGUGGGGUCUGUAUAGGCCACAGAGGAGUCGCUGUGGGGCACAGUGGGAUCGCUGUGAGUUACUAUGGAGUCUUUGGGGUCUCUGUGGGGCACAGUGGGGUCUAUGGGGUCUCUAUGGGGCACAGUGGGGUCUAUGGGGUCUGUAUAGGCCACAGACGAGUCGCUGUGGGGCACAGUGGGAUCGCUGUGAGUUACUAUGGAGUCUUUGGGGUCUCUAUGGGGCACAGUGGGGUCUAUGGGGUCUCUGUGGGGCACACAGGGGUCUAUGGGGGCCCUAUGGGGUUGCCAUGGGGCACAGAAGGAUCUGGGGGAUCUCUGUGGGGUCCGUCUGGGUUGCUGUGGGUCACGGGGGGGGUUUAUGGGGUCGCUGUGGGUCCCGCUAUGGGUCGCUGUGGGUCACAGGCGCCACCCGCAACCUGUACCACCUGAAGGUCGUCGAGUACGAGCGGCAGCAUCAGUGCCGGGGGGGGGCAGGUGGGUGCCCCAUAGCUGCCCCAUAACCACCCCCAAACCGCCCUAUAGCUGCCCCAUAACCCCACGGCCACGUGACCCCCGUGUGCCCCAUAUCUGCCCCAUAACUGUGCCAUAACCCCAUG
Molecule: long non-coding RNA, 830 nt
Filed under: Numida meleagris (helmeted guineafowl)
Lineage: Eukaryota; Metazoa; Chordata; Aves; Galliformes; Numididae
Description: lncRNA (ENSNMEG00000006335.1)
Source: RNAcentral